This 253-nucleotide ribosomal RNA is filed under the name uncultured bacterium. RNAcentral describes it as "partial 16S ribosomal RNA". It matches the Rfam family "Bacterial small subunit ribosomal RNA", at positions 524 to 776 of the family's 1533-position model. The record is from RNAcentral.
UACGAAGGGAGCUAGCGUUGUUCGGAAUCACUGGGCGUAAAGCGCGCGUAGGCGGCUUUGCAAGUCAGGGGUGAAAUCCCACAGCUUAACUGUGGAACUGCCUUUGAAACUGCAAGGCUAGAAUGUGAGAAGGGAUGGCGGAAUUCCUAAUGUAGAGGUGAAAUUCGUAGAUAUUAGGAGGAACACCUGUGGCGAAAGCGGCCAUCUGGAUCACAAUUGACGCUGAAGUGCGAAAGCGUGGGUAGCAAACAGG